CCUACGGGAGGCAGCAGUAGGGAAUCUUGUGCAAUGGGCGAAAGCCUGACACAGCAACUCCGCGUGCGGGAAGAAGGCCUUAGGGUUGUAAACCGCUUUUGGCAGGAACGAAAAUGACGGUACCUGCAGAAUAAGGUGCGGCCAACUACGUGCCAGCAGCCGCGGUGACACGUAGGCACCAAGCGUUGUCCGGAUUUAUUGGGCGUAAAGAGCUCGUAGGCGGUUCAGUUAGUCGGGUGUGAAAACUCUGGGCUUAACCCGGAGACGCCACUCGAUACUGCUGGGCUAGAAUUCGGUAGGGGAGUGGGGAAUUCCUGGUGUAGCGGUGAAAUGCGCAGAUAUCAGGAGGAACACCGGUGGCGAAGGCGCCACUCUGGGCCGACAUUGACGCUGAGGAGCGAAAGCGUGGGUAGCAAACAGGAUUAGAUACCCUGGUAGUCCACGCCGUAAACGGUGGGCACUAGGUGUGGGUUCCAACCAACGGAACUCCGUGCCGUCGCAAACGCGUUAAGUGCCCGCCGUGGGGAGUACGGCCGCGAAGGUUAAAACCUUAAAGGAAUUGACGG
Molecule: ribosomal RNA, 566 nt
Filed under: uncultured bacterium
Lineage: Bacteria
Description: bacterial SSU rRNA
Rfam family: Bacterial small subunit ribosomal RNA
Source: RNAcentral